AGAGUUUGAUCCUGGCUCAGGAUGAACGCUAGCGGCAGGCUUAAUACAUGCAAGUCGAGGGGCAGCGCGAGGUAGCAAUACUUUGGCGGCGACCGGCGCACGGGUGCGUAACGCGUAUGCAACCUACCUGUUAUUGAGGAAUAACUCGAAGAAAUUCGGACUAAUACCUCAUAUUAUUAUUGAGAGGCAUCUCUUGAUGAUGAAAGAUUAAUUGAUAACAGAUGGGCAUGCGUGUCAUUAGAUAGUUGGUGAGGUAACGGCUCACCAAGUCGACGAUGACUAGGGGUUCUGAGAGGAAAGUCCCCCACACUGGUACUGAGACACGGACCAGACUCCUACGGGAGGCAGCAGUAGGGAAUAUUGGGCAAUGGGAGCAAUCCUGACCCAGCCAUGCCGCGUGCAGGAAGACGGCGCUAUGCGUUGUAAACUGCUUUUGUGCAGGGAUAAUUGAUGAUACGUGUAUCAUCUUGCAGGUACUGUACGAAUAAGCAUCGGCUAACUCCGUGCCAGCAGCCGCGGUAAUACGGAGGAUGCAAGCGUUAUCCGGAUUUAUUGGGUUUAAAGGGUGCGCAGGCUGGAUGAUAAGUCUGCGGUGAAAGGUUAGAGCUUAACUCUGACAUUGCCGUGGAUACUGUUGUUCUAGAUGAUAGUUGACGUUGGCGGAAUAUGUCAAGUAGCGGUGAAAUGCUUAGAUAUGACAUAGAACACCGGUGGGGAAGCCGGCUAACGAAACUAUUCAUGACGCUCAUGCACGAAAGCGUGGGGAUCAAACAGGAUUAGAUACCCUGGUAGUCCACGCAGUAAACGAUGAUCACUCGUUGUCGGCGAUAGACCGUCGGUGGCUAAGCGAAAGUGAUAAGUGAUCCACCUGGGGAGUACGUUCGCAAGUAUGAAACUCAAAGGAAUUGACGGGGGCCCGCACAAGCGGAGGAGCAUGUGGUUGAACCUUACCAGGACUUGAACGCAGGAGGAAUAACGGUGAAAGUCGUUAGUCGCAAGACUUCCUGCGAGGUGCUGCAUGGUUGUCGUCAGCUCGUGCCGUGAGGUGUUAGGUUAAGUCCUGCAACGAGCGCAACCCUUACUGUCAGUUACCAGCAUGUAAUGAUGGGGACUCUGGCGGAACUGCCCGCGCAAGCGUGGAGGAAGGUGGGGAUGACGUCAAAUCAGCACGGCCCUUACGUUCUGGGCGACACACGUGCUACAAUGGGGGGUACAGAGGGCAGCUACACUGCGAAGUGAUGCGAAUCUCAAAAACCUCUCUCAGUUCGGAUCGAAGUCUGCAACUCGACUUCGUGAAGUUGGAUUCGCUAGUAAUCGCGCAUCAGCCAUGGCGCGGUGAAUACGUUCCCGGGCCUUGUACACACCGCCCGUCAAGCCAUGGAAGUUUGGGGUACCUGAAGUACGUGCCCGCAAGGAGCGUCCUAAGGUAAAACAAGUAACUGGGGCUAAGUCGUAACAAGGUAGCCGUACCGGAAGGUGUGGCUG
RNAcentral lists this ribosomal RNA (1485 nucleotides) under termite gut metagenome. RNAcentral describes it as "bacterial SSU rRNA". It matches the Rfam family "Bacterial small subunit ribosomal RNA". The record is from RNAcentral.